UGGCCAGACUCCUACGGGAGGCAGCAGUGAGGAAUAUUGGUCAAUGGGCUUACGCCUGAACCAGCCAAGUCGCGUGAGGGAAGACUGCCCUAUGGGUUGUAAACCUCUUUUGUCAGGGAGCAAUUGGCGCUACGUGUAGCGUUAUCGAGAGUACCUGAAGAAAAGGCAUCGGCUAACUCCGUGCCAGCAGCCGCGGUAAUACGGAGGAUGCGAGCGUUAUCCGGAUUUAUUGGGUUUAAAGGGUGCGUAGGCGGAAGGUUAAGUCAGCGGUCAAAUGUCGGUGCUCAACACCGGCCUGCCGUUGAAACUGGUCUUCUUGAGUGAGCGAGAAGUAUGCGGAAUGCGUGGUGUAGCGGUGAAAUGCAUAGAUAUCACGCAGAACUCCGAUUGCGAAGGCAGCAUACCGGCGCUCAACUGACGCUGAGGCACGAAAGCGUGGGGAUCGAACAGGAUUAGAUACCCCAGUAA
Molecule: ribosomal RNA, 468 nt
Filed under: uncultured bacterium
Lineage: Bacteria
Description: bacterial SSU rRNA
Rfam family: Bacterial small subunit ribosomal RNA
Source: RNAcentral